CUCAGAAUCACCUCAGGAAUCUACCAUUAACCGGUGGUACGUUUUUCAGAGACUCUUGGGCAAUGAAAUUUUCAUAGAUCCAGACUAUAAAGUCCCGGCAAACUCUAAAUUAUUAAGCCUGUUGAAACCACAGUUUCUCAAGGUAUUUGACUUUCUUUUAAACUCUUAAGCUUGACAUUAAAACAUAUUCGACAUUUUACACAUUUUUUUUAAGAUUUAAACACCCUAUUAUUUAAAGAACGUCAUAGAAAAUCUUUCUUAAACAUUAAACAUUUUGCCGAAAUCUUUCAACUUUUAUUCUUCUCUAGUUUAUGUUUAAAAAUUCUAAGAUUCUGAUAUUUUCAAUCUUUGUACCUUUCAAAAUUUAUGGAAACUUUAUUUCUAACAAUAUAAAUAAUUUUCACGAGCAACAUUUAAUUACAAAACUAAAGUAAUUCUUUUCUCAGGAUGCAACCGUGUUACAUUUGUCACGCGUAUUUCAUUGCGCUUCUGUAUGAUGUAUGUACGCGAGAACGUUCGCUCGACGAUUUAUUUACUUGGCACGUGCCAGGAACGUCAACGGUUGAAGUAAAAUACACGUGUCGGUUAUAAUCAUUUUCGGAACGUCACGAAAGAAACCCCCAGGGCCUUUUUCCAGCAGAAAUUCGGCAGAAAAUCUGACAAAUACAGAAUGCUAUUCACGGAGAACACCCUCAAGAUCCACUCUUAGGACCACGAUUCACGCCUAUGUAACUCCAGAUACAAUUUUAAUUAUGCUGGGAUCACAACAGAAUAAGAUUGAAGCAGGAGAGAUCUCUCAUCAUGCUGUACGACCAAAGCAGCUGCUUUUCCGAAGAGAACACGCGAGGGUGGAUCAAUAAUGAAAUGGGGGUUGGCUGGGAUUUCCAGCGCCAUCCCUCCAUGUCAUGUGGAACUAGCAACUGUUACUUAUUCCUUCCUUCUUUCCUCGUGGUUGAAUUUUAAUCCUGUUACUCUUGCUUUGGGUUCGCAUUCGAUAUAUUUCUGCAUUUUAACAUGCGAUAAAUCUGCAGAUAUUACUUCUGACCUUUCUUAAUGAUCCUAACUUUCCGUUUUCUGAUAGGGAUUUCUACAAAAUGGAAUAAAAUUUUAUUUAACUAAAAAAAGAUAAAUAUUAAGGUACGAUGUUAAAUUAAAAUACCAAUUAGAAUAUAAAAGUUCAAAGUUUUUAAGAUUUUAAAAUAUAUACAGAAAAUAAAUGAUCAGCAGGAUUAAAAGAAGGUAUAGUUAGUAGAUUAAUAUAUCGUCUUUGAUCGAAGAAUUUUUAUAAUAUAAUAUCAAAUUUUCAUAAUUUAUAAUUUAAUAUCAAUUUUAUAAUAUCAAAGAAAAUUAUCUUAUUAUAUCUUUAUUAAUGAGGUGCGUGUAGUCUAAACAGAAAUGGAAGAACAUAUAUAGGUUUUUACAAGAUAUGUUAUAAUUUCAAUUUCGAGUAUUAUUACUUCGUGCUUCUGGAGGAUUUACUCGAGAAAUGGUAAGUUUACUCUUACGUGUAGUCGAGAUUGUGUAGUCGAAGACUACAAACCACAAUUGAGGAUAUAUACUUUUUUACUGGUAUUGUAUAAAUAUAGUUGCACAUUUCUCCCUCAGUUAUCGCAACACGAUUUAAUUAUUUUUCACCAAGGUUGAUCUGUAUCUAGACGUUGUGACACAAAUUACGCUCAGCAUUUUUCUCCGAUAAAUUAUAACCGAUUAAGAGAUUUUAUCGAUAUUAACAUUUUAAAUAAUAAUGAUACGACAAAUACUUUCAAUGCUUUCUUCAUAACAAUCUUUUUAGUUGCAAGAAGAUAAAACUUUAAAUAUAAUAUUAAUAAAUCUGAUAGAAUUAUUAUCGAUUUUGUUAAACUAAUUUAAUAACUUUCUGAUCAACAAAAUUGCGUAUAGCAGAGAGAAUAUCUUUUUUUCUUAUCAUUGAUUUUAGUUUCGUUGAACUUAUCGGGCAAAAAAAUUUAUUAUGUGUAAUUAUACAAUCUCCUGAAGCGCAAAUUCAUCUCGAAACUAAUUCACAAGCUCAUAAGUUCACCUUAUAUCGCCAGCUAUACACAAAUCUUACUUUACAAGCCAGCAACAACAGCAACCUUUCAUACCACGUUAUUAAUGCAAAUUCCUUUUAUACAAUUAAUUCCUUUGCUUAAUACUCUGCGUCGACAGAAUAAGGUAAGAGAAUAACAGAAACUAGGAGUAUACAAUAAUGCCGUAAUUCGAUUCUCCGCAAUAUAUAUUUACGCGGGAUGAAAAAUGAAAAAAUUUUCCAAUCACGAUCAGCUGAAUUAUCUGAAGUAACGCGAAAGUGAGAUGUAAAAGAACUGCACGGAUAUGCAUUCAUGCAUAUUGAUAGCGGAUUUACCAGUAUGAUGAUGAUGAUGAUGACGAUGAUCUUUGUUAUCCUUUGUAUCCCUACUCCAAUCCCCCAAAAUAUCAAGUUUAGAUGAGAACACGCUAAUGUACUUUUUAUAAUGAAAUACUUAAAGCACUCAUGAAUGCAAAAACAGCAUUAUACAAAAUCCGUAAAUCUUUAAUAUGCAACAGUGCAUAAUAGCUCUUGGAAUAAGAUGCUAAUAACUGUUACACUCUCUCACUUGUUAGAAAAAUUAAUCAACAUUUAUAAAAUAAACUAAAUUGCUCUUUCCCAUUCUCUUCAAGAAUAUCAGUUUCAGAGCCUCUGAAAAGAUAGAUUCUCCCUCUUUUCUCUUCUGUUUUUCCACGUAUAUUAUACAAGCUUCAUUAUUCUAUUCCUAAUCGUAAAUUUAAAAAGUUUCAUACAUUUAUUAAUGUUUCUACAUCGUGUAGUCUAAAACGACAACUUUAAACAUUAAAUAAGUGACGAUCAUUUAUGAGGUUCUAACACUAUCGCUGUGGGCUAUCAAUAUUUAUUCCGGUCUCGUGGCUGCACGAUGGAUACAGAAGAUCUUGUCCAAAUAUACAGGAGCAGCUGUGUGUGUGUGUGUGUGUGUGCAGCAACGGCGUCAGCAUCCCUUUAUAUCUCAAGAAGAGCAUCGAUUGAGGUACCUAUGAAAAGUCGUACCCAGGAAAUUGAAUAAAUUCUUGCUGAUAUCGAGUUCGAAUAUCUAGUCAUCGUUACCGUAUCUUGCUAUCUUGCAUUGAAUACUGUCAAAUCUACCAAAGUUGACACAAAUGAU
Ooceraea biroi (clonal raider ant) is the source of this 3155-nucleotide long non-coding RNA. RefSeq lists it as uncharacterized. The record is from RefSeq and is a predicted model, not a curated record. NCBI's taxonomy places the organism in Eukaryota, Metazoa, Arthropoda, Insecta, Hymenoptera, Formicidae.